This 492-nucleotide ribosomal RNA is filed under the name uncultured bacterium. RNAcentral's name for it is "partial 16S ribosomal RNA". It matches the Rfam family "Bacterial small subunit ribosomal RNA", at positions 29 to 507 of the family's 1533-position model. The record is from RNAcentral.
AGUGAACGCUGGCGGUAGGCCUAACACAUGCAAGUCGAACGGCAGCACAGUAAGAGCUUGCUCUUACGGGUGGCGAGUGGCGGACGGGUGAGGAAUACAUCGUAAUCUACUUUUUCGUGGGGGAUAACGUAGGGAAACUUACUCUAAUACCGCAUACGACCUACGGGUGAAAGCAGGGGAUCUUCGGACCUUGCGCGAUUGAAUGAGCCGAUGUCGGAUUAGCUAGUUGGCGGGGUAAAGGCCCACCAAGGCGACGAUCCGUAGCUGGUCUGAGAGGAGGGUCAGCCACACUGGAACUGAGACACGGUCCAGACUCCUACGGGAGGCAGCAGUGGGGAAUAUUGGACAGUGGGCGCAAGCCUGAUCCGGCCAUACCGCGUGGGUGAAGAAGGCCUUCGGGUUGUAAAGCCCUUUUGUUGGGAAAGAAAAGCAGCAGGUUAAUACCCCGCUGUUCUGACGGUACCCAAAGAAUAAGCACCGGCUAACUUCGUG